ACGAACGCUGGCGGCGUGCUUAACACAUGCAAGUCGAACGGAAAGGCCCUGCUUUUGUGGGGUGCUCGAGUGGCGAACGGGUGAGUAACACGUGAGUAACCUGCCCUUGACUUUGGGAUAACUUCAGGAAACUGGGGCUAAUACCGGAUAGGAGCUCCGGCUGCAUGGUGGGGGUUGGAAAGUUUCGGCGGUUGGGGAUGGACUCGCGGCUUAUCAGCUUGUUGGUGGGGUAGUGGCUUACCAAGGCUUGGACGGGUAGCCGGCCUGAGAGGGUGACCGGCCACAUUGGGACUGAGAUACGGCCCAGACUCCUACGGGAGGCAGCAGUGGGGAAUAUUGCACAAUGGGCGGAAGCCUGAUGCAGCAACGCCGCGUGCGGGAUGACGGCCUUCGGGUUGUAAACCGCUUUCGCCUGUGACGAAGCGUGAGUGACGGUAAUGGGUAAAGAAGCACCGGCUAACUACGUG
RNAcentral lists this ribosomal RNA (467 nucleotides) under uncultured bacterium. RNAcentral describes it as "partial 16S ribosomal RNA". It matches the Rfam family "Bacterial small subunit ribosomal RNA", at positions 29 to 507 of the family's 1533-position model. The record is from RNAcentral.